This is a long non-coding RNA of Erigeron canadensis, 671 nucleotides long. RefSeq lists it as uncharacterized. Lineage: Eukaryota; Viridiplantae; Streptophyta; Magnoliopsida; Asterales; Asteraceae. The transcript has 3 exons. The record is from RefSeq and is a predicted model, not a curated record.
UCCCAAAUAAAAUACACAAUCCUUAUUUCCCUCUAUUUGUCUGCCAAACCGAAAGAUACACACAAAUUCUCACUAUCUCACACUAUUCAGCCACCGCCUUUCAUCACCAGUACCGCCGCCCGCCACCAUAUACCCACCUCACAUAUUCUUCAUCUCUUUCUGAUUUAGUGCAUUUAUUUAUUUCAAAUGUCGAUCCAAUGAAAGUGAUUAAACUUUCACCACUCGAUUCUUUCGUUUUGAAUCCACACAAUGGAUACGGAGAAAUUUGAGAAAGGAGACGAGGUGAGUAUUGUUCUGUCAAAUAAGCUAGCAACAGCAAAAAUUGAUACAGCACGGGUGGUAAUAAUCAUACCUGUUAUUGUGUAGUUAGAGCUGUCAUAGUAAUUGCUUCACUUUGUAUUUUAAGCAGAAGCCAACUUUUCGGCCUCUGCGUAAGAAAGUAUUCAUAGUAUGUUCCAAGAUUCUAGAUGGGUUUGAGUCAAAAUAAUUUAAUUUGCUUUUUUUUAUCCAUAACUUUUUGUGUAGUGAUAAUUUUACUUUUGUAUGGAUAUAUCUUUAACAAUGUUGGUAACCAACGACAAUAUGUAUUACUUUUCCCAAAACCAAACAUAUACCAAAAGGCUUCCUGUUUAACCUGUGUUUAACAAGUGUGAUUAUGUAUUUUAUGAGAA